Molecule: long non-coding RNA, 475 nt
Filed under: Homo sapiens (human)
Lineage: Eukaryota; Metazoa; Chordata; Mammalia; Primates; Hominidae
Description: non-protein coding SCOC-AS1:10
Source: RNAcentral
AGUAAAGAAGCGAAGCUAAGCGGCGCUGGUGAAGCGGCUCAUCAGGUCUAUCAGGAAACCUGAGAAUUGGAGUGAGAAUCCCAGUGUGGAAAAUCAGGAAAGAGGCUGGUAUGAGCGACAGAGAAGUCAUUCAGGAAAGAGGUUAUUGAAUUCAUUGGAGAAUGAAUGCUGUUCUGAAUUUGUAUCUUAAGGGAAAUACUACAAAAUGUCGCAGAAGGUGCUGGAUGGAUAUCUAAAGUUCAAAAAGGAAGAGAACCACACGAGCUGGAGAUUCAGGAAGCAUCAGUAGAAGUCAAUGGCCAUUAAUAAAAACAUUUUUUAUUAAAAUAUUGAAUCUGAAUAGAAACCUCCUGUACUUCAUUUCUUAAAUCCCUUGAGGGUAGUAACUGCAUCUUCUCCAUUGAUAUAGCCCCUGCCAAGCACAGUGCCUGAAGGCAGGUCCACAGACAUUGGCUGAAUAAACGAGUGCUCUGUU